This 543-nucleotide long non-coding RNA is filed under the name Setaria viridis. RNAcentral's name for it is "long non-coding RNA (SVIR_LNC000410)". Lineage: Eukaryota; Viridiplantae; Streptophyta; Magnoliopsida; Poales; Poaceae. The record is from RNAcentral.
CUGUUGAUGCUAGAUUUUGACACGUGUUUUGAAUCAGCGUCAGGGAAGGAAAAGAUUGGCCGAUGUGGCGGGUUAAAAGCUAUAGUUGGGAAUCGGCCGAUUGGCGUUACAAUAUUUCGGCUGAUUGGCGAACGGAAUUGAUGAAGGUCGGUCGAUUGGAAGGCUGAGGCAGCUGGGCCAAUAUGAGCUUAAGGUGGGCUAGAGAAGUAGAUAGCUAAAGAAAGAGAUUGGCCCAUGGGAGUAUGAUAACCAACUCCAAUACGAGUUGUGUUUGUAAAUAUUUGUUAUCGUUUAAAUUUAGAGAUAGAUCCUAGUCAGUUAAGGAAAUCAGUCGGCGACUUCGCCAAAAACCUUUUUUUUCAUGAGUUUGUACAGAUUGGCAGGGCUGCAUCGACACGAUCUCCGGCUGAUUUGUAAGUUCCAUUUAUCGAGUAAUAUCUAAGCUUUAACUUCAGGCGCAUCGCUGUCGUUUCGUUUAGAUUUAUUCACCAGUUAUCGAUAUUAACUAGAAUUAUAGGUUUUAUCUAAUGCUCUAGCUUUUAU